This 28-nucleotide non-coding RNA is filed under the name Homo sapiens (human). Lineage: Eukaryota; Metazoa; Chordata; Mammalia; Primates; Hominidae. The record is from RNAcentral.
UGACUGGUGUUACCAUCUCCGUGGAGGC